GUUUGAAUGAUGACUUAAGAUUGUCGGAUACCCCUUCACUCGGUUCAUGGGUGAAACAUGAACAGUCUGACAAAC
This is a small nucleolar RNA of Fukomys damarensis (Damara mole-rat), 75 nucleotides long. The record is from Ensembl. NCBI's taxonomy places the organism in Eukaryota, Metazoa, Chordata, Mammalia, Rodentia, Bathyergidae.